GAUGAACGCUGGCGGCGUGCUUAACACAUGCAAGUCGAACGGUGAAGCCAAGCUUGCUUGGUGGAUCAGUGGCGAACGGGUGAGUAACACGUGAGCAACCUGCCCUGGACUCUGGGAUAAGCGCUGGAAACGGUGUCUAAUACUGGAUAUGAGCCUCUAUCGCAUGGUGGGGGUUGGAAAGAUUUUUCGGUCUGGGAUGGGCUCGCGGCCUAUCAGCUUGUUGGUGAGGUAAUGGCUCACCAAGGCGUCGACGGGUAGCCGGCCUGAGAGGGUGACCGGCCACACUGGGACUGAGACACGGCCCAGACUCCUACGGGAGGCAGCAGUGGGGAAUAUUGCACAAUGGGCGGAAGCCUGAUGCAGCAACGCCGCGUGAGGGAUGACGGCCUUCGGGUUGUAAACCUCUUUUAGCAGGGAAGAAGCGAAAGUGACGGUACCUGCAGAAAAAGCGCCGGCUAACUACGUGCCAGCAGCCGCGGUAAUACGUAGGGCGCAAGCGUUAUCCGGAAUUAUUGGGCGUAAAGAGCUCGUAGGCGGUUUGUCGCGUCUGCUGUGAAAUCCCGAGGCUCAACCUCGGGUCUGCAGUGGGUACGGGCAGACUAGAGUGCGGUAGGGGAGAUUGGAAUUCCUGGUGUAGCGGUGGAAUGCGCAGAUAUCAGGAGGAACACCGAUGGCGAAGGCAGAUCUCUGGGCCGUAACUGACGCUGAGGAGCGAAAGGGUGGGGAGCAAACAGGCUUAGAUACCCUGGUAGUCCACCCCGUAAACGUUGGGAACUAGUUGUGGGGACCAUUCCACGGUUUCCGUGACGCAGCUAACGCAUUAAGUUCCCCGCCUGGGGAGUACGGCCGCAAGGCUAAAACUCAAAGGAAUUGACGGGGACCCGCACAAGCGGCGGAGCAUGCGGAUUAAUUCGAUGCAACGCGAAGAACCUUACCAAGGCUUGACAUACACCAGAACACCGUAGAAAUACGGGACUCUUUGGACACUGGUGAACAGGUGGUGCAUGGUUGUCGUCAGCUCGUGUCGUGAGAUGUUGGGUUAAGUCCCGCAACGAGCGCAACCCUCGUUCUAUGUUGCCAGCACGUAAUGGUGGGAACUC
This 1100-nucleotide ribosomal RNA is filed under the name uncultured bacterium. RNAcentral describes it as "bacterial SSU rRNA". It matches the Rfam family "Bacterial small subunit ribosomal RNA", at positions 28 to 1140 of the family's 1533-position model. The record is from RNAcentral.